GACUCGUGGACCCAGAACCGACUGCGCGGUCUGCUCUUCCCACGUCAGGGUGUUUCGAGACCCUCGCUCACCCGCUCCACGCUCGUGCCUCCCACCCCGAGAUCCGAGGGGAUCCGUGGCCUCCCCCUGGCUCUGGGGCUUCGGGCCAAGGCAAAGGAAGGAAGCGGAGCCCAGCUCUGUCCAAGAUGCUGACCUCAUCUUCCCCAGCAAAGCCAGGAAAAAAACAGCCACACGCGCAGCCAGACACACGGACACACACGAGGACACCCACGCGAGAGCCCAUGCGUACCUUUGCCCUCGGCCAUGGGCAGCCGGCUGGGCACCCGGGGUCACGCCACGAGCCUGCCCUGGCCUGGGGGCAUCGCUCGCUGGAGACUGGGGGAUGUGACCUGCAGCGCAGACACCUGUGCCCAGCGUGCAGCGGGGCAGGGCCCGACGGUCCUCUCCCCGGGCAUCCGCGGCUCCCGCACGCCGCACCCAGGGGCGUAAGAGCAUAUCCUCAGCGUGAAACCGGGGCGGGGGGGUGGCGGUGGGCGAGGCCCCCUUCGCGGGGGUGCUUUUUCUCUGUACAAAAGCCUGCGUUUCUGCCUCUUGUUGGGCAGCACACUGGAAGAACGAAGCCAGAGAAACAUGUAACGGGUGUGGGGUGUGUCCACCCCGUUCUCUGGUUGCCAGUCUUCUUGCCUCCACCUGCGGCCAAGGCGCCCUCCUCCUCGCGGCCGCUUCUGAGACCGACGGUCGUGGCUCGGUGAGCCCCGCUGCUGCAGGGCACGAGCACCCCUGAGAGCGCGGGCUGCCGAGGGGCGCCCCCUCCGCGCCGCCCGGCACGCGUGCCCCGCGCACGGAGCAGGUGCAGGGCCCGCGGCUGCCCGCGACCAGGUGAGCGCCCCGGAGGGCGGGCAGGGAGCGCUGGCGGGAGCAGCCCCGCCGCCCCCCACGCC
This 941-nucleotide long non-coding RNA is filed under the name Dasypus novemcinctus (nine-banded armadillo). RNAcentral's name for it is "lncRNA (ENSDNOG00000050132.1)". Lineage: Eukaryota; Metazoa; Chordata; Mammalia; Cingulata; Dasypodidae. The record is from RNAcentral.